GGGGUAUUUCCACGUGGCUUUUUUUAAUUAGGAAGUAUAUAGUUUUGGAUUAUAAAAUGCAAAAUGGUAUUCCGCAUGCAUUUAUGAAUGGUCAGUUAGUGAUGGAGGACAUAUAUGAGCCUAUUUGUUAACGACAAGGGCAGAAUCUAGGCCAACUUUUAAUGGAGGGAUAACCUAUCCUAUUUCACAUAGUAAAGGGCAUUUUAGGCCACGAUCACGCCCAAAUAUGUCCUCUAGAAAGGACUCUACGGACGUUUUUAAUAUAACCCAGGUAUUACGGGUAAAAUCCACAGAGAGUUAGCCUAUCAACCAUUAUCUUUAGAUCCACUAAACUCUUCAAAACCAGCUUCCCAAGACUUUCAAAUCACAGUUGGAAGUUUCUUUAUGAACUAAGAUUGCAGUAAAAUAACAAGUUGUAAACUUAAUAACUAAGGUUGUAAACAAUGAUGAGAGAAAGCUAAGGUAAUG
Molecule: long non-coding RNA, 468 nt
Filed under: Nicotiana benthamiana
Lineage: Eukaryota; Viridiplantae; Streptophyta; Magnoliopsida; Solanales; Solanaceae
Description: long non-coding RNA (NBEN_LNC013896)
Source: RNAcentral